AACACCGAGUAUCACGGAGGGCGGCUUCGAUGGCUCCUUUCCGCCCGCGGCCGCAUCAUCCGAUGAGCAGAGAUCCACCACGUCCGCGACCGCCGCCGCUCCUGGUGGCACCAUCAUCGCAGCGAAGCGGCGUCGCAGCACCUUCGCGAAGAUGAAGCGAUCCAUCACAAAAGGGCCGCGACUUCUCGGACGUCGUAUCAAGCACUUCUUGAAGGACGAUCUGUACAUCGACGUAAGUUACCAGGAGGCGCCGCCGAAGAUGGUGGCGCGGGAACUGGCCGCGCUAGAGGUUCUCUCGGUGUAUCACCGCUGGCUGCGCGGGGUGCAGGCGCUGCUCUCCAUCGCCGUUUUCAUGCUCUCGCUGCUGAGCAUUGGGAGCUCGGCGUUUCUGGUGAACUGCACCAUUUUUAUCGUCUCCCAGGCAGCCGCCCUCGUCAUAUGCAAAACGUACCAGGUCAAGGCACAGUUCUCUGGCGUGACAAACCUGCUGUUCGAGGGGCGCAACAUCUUCACCUCACCGUACUUCCUUCACAUGGUGGCCGAAAUCGUGCUGUGGAACAUCCAGACCCCGCCUUUUGUCUUCGUUGGCAAGCAGUUCUUCGAGCUGCUAAACUACUUCAUCUUCUUGCGCCUGUACUCCGUCAUCGUGUACCUGAACAACGCUAUGUACGUGCACCGAACCUUCUGCCGCGCCAUGUCCGCGAUCAGUGACCUGCCACUUUCCACCUCCUUUCUUAUUCGCACCGGGCUGCUCCACCAAAAGACGCGCGUCGUGGUGACGGUGGUGAUAUGUGCGUGGCUGACGGUCGGCUGCCUGUUCGCACGCACCCAGAACCUCUCCCUCGGUGAUGCCCUCUGGUUUUCCUUUCAGUCUCUGUCGACGCUGGGGUACGGCGACAUCACCCCCUCCACGCUUUCGGGCCGCGUCGUUGCCUUCAUCGCCUGGAUCUUGAGCUACGUCAUUAUGGCCUUCCUGAUCAUCACCAUGUACUCGCUGCUACAGGCGUCGGACCGCUCGCACAACAUGCAGACGUUAAUGGAGUGUCACGAUCUCGCACACAGUCUGCGAGGCCGCUCUGCCCGCGUCAUCCAGCUGGCGUGGCGGUUGCGCAAGGCUCGAAAGGUCGGGCCUCACGCGCCGUCCUUGAAGCAGAAGGUCUACACACUGGCUUUGUCGUGGCUUUUGACUGACAUGAUUUCCGCGGUGCGGCGCACACGGCAGCAGCUGAACGGUGCGGUGCGCUCGCUGAGCGAGACGAAUAUUCAUCCGCUUACAGGGCUGUCGGCGUACCAGUAUAAUGCAUACCUGCAACUCACGGAGAAGGCGGCGCGGCAGCUGCAGCGGGCAAAGGACGUGGAUCGCGUGCACCUCGCCCUGCGCGACCGUGACGUGCUAGCCUCAUCGCUAUCGCGGCGCGACAUCGAGACCAUUAUUGUUCUUCCAGGCGACUCGCUAGAGCCCAUCGGCACUGCGCUGCCGGUCGCCCUGACAAGCAGCAGCGGCACAGCGGCGUCAGUGGCAGAGAUGGCGGAGUGGAGGGACCGGGUGACGCAGCUGGAACAGAAGUGCGCGCGUCUGACAGAGGUGCUAGAGGCUAUCAGCGCUGUGGCCGAGACACAUCCCCCUAGCAUGGCUGUGUCCCAGAUGUGAUGCAGAUGGCUGAUGGUGCGAUCUAGUGCAGGAUCUGAGGAGGCGGAAGAAAGACGGCUGGUGUUGCUCAUCAACGGACUGAUCUUCUUCCCAUUUUCUUAGGCAAUGGUGCGGAUUUGAUGUGUCUUUCAGCCGCUCAGCUCUGUUCAUCUUGGACCCUUAGAGGUUUGGGCCUCGCCCGCGUUGCGCUUUCCUGGAUCCCACCCUCCCUUCUCACCUUCGCGCGAGGAGCCGCCACGUCGCUCCGACUGCGGCGCACUCUAUACGCAGAUGCAGGGAGCAAUAACGGCGGCACACAAGACACAUGUGCGUGCGUGCGUGCGUGCGAGGGAGCGCGUAUGUUGCGGUGUCUCUGCACUGUUGUCUGUGCGCUCUCUUUUCUCCCUUCCUCUAUAUAUGCAUAUAUAUAUAUAUAUAUGUACAUGUGUACACAUGUAGGCGUUAUCAGUGUUCGUUUGUUUGUUUUUUCGAAGGUGGGGGGAGGGGGGGCUUCAUCUCUGCCCGCUCCCCCUCCCCUCCCUCCCUCCCUCCUCAGCACACGUCGAAAGAAGGGGGUGGUGGUGAGGGGAAUGCCGUUGCAUUUUUUGUUGUUCUCUCAAGAGUAAAGAGUCAGGGGCAAAUGAUGGAGCAGCCGGUCCUGGCUGUGCUGGGAAGCUGUCUCUGGCGUGAGGAGGUUUGUGGUCUGUGUGCGCGCGUGUGUAUGUGUACAUCUUUAGCUGAUUUCGCUCUUCAGGUGCGUCGGGAAGGUACAGGACGGAUGUGCUGGCGUUGCGUGGAAUAUGACGGGCUUUGCCUUCGUCGCCUUUGGACGCAUGCUUUCUUGUUCCCCUGCGUGACGUGCAGCACAUAUCACGUUGCCGUCGUGGGGCAUUGCAGACAUGGAAGAAGUGUUUGCGUGAAGCGGGGUGUCAAAUGAAUAAGGGAAAGUCGUGUUCCUCUAGCGAGAGGGCUCUCGUGUGUGUGUGUGUGUGUGUGUCGCCUCCGUACAUCGCGUCUGAGACGAGCGUGAUGCAGUUUUCCCUCUUUCUUUUC
This 2683-nucleotide unclassified non-coding RNA is filed under the name Leishmania donovani. RNAcentral's name for it is "gene:LdHU3.14.0750(CDS-product:ion_transport_prot ein-like_protein)". The record is from RNAcentral. Lineage: Eukaryota; Euglenozoa; Kinetoplastea; Trypanosomatida; Trypanosomatidae.